GGCUCAGGAUGAACGCUGGCGGCGUGCUUAACACAUGCAAGUCGAACGAUGAACCUCACUUGUGGGGGGAUUAGUGGCGAACGGGUGAGUAACACGUGAGUAACCUGCCCUUGACUCUGGGAUAAGCCUGGGAAACCGGGUCUAAUACUGGAUACGACCUUCUGGCGCAUGCCAUGUUGGUGGAAAGCUUUUGUGGUUUUGGAUGGACUCGCGGCCUAUCAGCUUGUUGGUGGGGUAAUGGCCUACCAAGGCGACGACGGGUAGCCGGCCUGAGAGGGUGACCGGCCACACUGGGACUGAGACACGGCCCAGACUCCUACGGGAGGCAGCAGUGGGGAAUAUUGCACAAUGGGCGCAAGCCUGAUGCAGCGACGCCGCGUGAGGGAUGAAGGCCUUCGGGUUGUAAACCUCUUUCAGUAGGGAAG
Molecule: ribosomal RNA, 425 nt
Filed under: Arthrobacter sp.
Lineage: Bacteria; Bacillati; Actinomycetota; Actinomycetes; Micrococcales; Micrococcaceae
Description: bacterial SSU rRNA
Rfam family: Bacterial small subunit ribosomal RNA
Source: RNAcentral